UUUGGCACCGUUUCCGGUUUGGAAGCAUUUAAAAAAUGGACGAAAAUUGAGGAGAGCAUUUUACAAAAGCUGAUGCAGCUAUUAUUUAAUAAACUGAAAAAUAAGUUUAAUAUUGGUUUGUAUACAAUUUUAAUUGCUUUAUCUUGCAGUUAUAACAAUUUUGAUAUUUUUUAAUUUUUUCAUACAAAAAACCGGAAAUGAAAAUUUCAAGUCAAAUUUAUAUAAAGUUCGGUAUUUUUGAAAUUUUUUAUUUUUGCCUCAAAAUGUAGCUUAUAGUCCAUCAAAAAUACGUGGAAAGUUUGAGAGUGGGAUCUGCAUUAGUUUCGGAGAUACAUGAACUAAAGUGCAAACGUGCCGGUCUGAGCGUCGUACUGGCGAUUCCUUAGUUACCCAGUCAAAUAAAGGUUUUGACCCUGGAAUGACAAAUAAUAAGCUGGAAACUCGUAUAACCACACAUUCGUGUCGGCGGUCUUUAAAUUACGAUAAAAGUCAUAGAAAACCUCGUGUUCGCGCCGGAACAGAUCAUGUUCAGGGCAUUUUUCCCGAUCCUCAACCGUUUUGUAGGAAUUGUCGGAUAAUUUGGAUAUAGACGGCGCAAAACGCGUAGCGGUCAGCCAUACGCUCCGUAAUGCAAGUUCACCGUGAAUUCCGGUUAAUAAUAAAUAAAUAAAUAUUAUAGGACAUUCUUACACAGAUUGACUAAGUCCCACAGUAAGCUCAAGAAGGCUUGUGUUGUGGGUACUCAGACAACGAUAUAUAUAAUAUACAGAUACUUAAAUACAUAGAAAACACCCAUGACUCAGGAACAAAUA
Cydia fagiglandana is the source of this 812-nucleotide long non-coding RNA. RefSeq lists it as uncharacterized. NCBI's taxonomy places the organism in Eukaryota, Metazoa, Arthropoda, Insecta, Lepidoptera, Tortricidae. The transcript has 2 exons. The record is from RefSeq and is a predicted model, not a curated record.